This 468-nucleotide ribosomal RNA is filed under the name uncultured bacterium. Its description in RNAcentral is "partial 16S ribosomal RNA". It matches the Rfam family "Bacterial small subunit ribosomal RNA", at positions 28 to 507 of the family's 1533-position model. The record is from RNAcentral.
GACGAACGCUGGCGGCGUGCUUAACACAUGCAAGUCGAACGGAAAGGCCCUGCUUUUGUGGGGUGCUCGAGUGGCGAACGGGUGAGUAACACGUGAGUAACCUGCCCUUGACUUUGGGAUAACUUCAGGAAACUGGGGCUAAUACCGGAUAGGAGCUCCUGCUGCAUGGUGGGGGUUGGAAAGUUUCGGCGGUUGGGGAUGGACUCGCGGCUUAUCAGCUUGUUGGUGGGGUAGUGGCUUACCAAGGCUUUGACGGGUAGCCGGCCUGAGAGGGUGACCGGCCACAUUGGGACUGAGAUACGGCCCAGACUCCUACGGGAGGCAGCGGUGGGGAAUAUUGCACAAUGGGCGGAAGCCUGAGGCAGCAGCGCCGCGUGCGGGAUGACGGCCUUCGGGUUGUAAACCGCUUUCGCCUGUGACGAAGCGUGAGUGACGGUAAUGGGUAAAGAAGCACCGGCUAACUACGUG